Molecule: transfer RNA, 65 nt
Filed under: Cercopithecus mitis (blue monkey)
Lineage: Eukaryota; Metazoa; Chordata; Mammalia; Primates; Cercopithecidae
Also listed under: 2 other names
Description: tRNA-Arg
Source: RNAcentral
UGGUAAGUAGUUUAAACAAAACAAAUGAUUUCGACUCAUUAAAUUAUGAUACCCAUACUAACCAG